CGCGGUCGAGGGGCGCGCGGGGGCCUCUCGCCGCUCCCAAUGGCGAUGAAGAUCGCGCUUCUGGUCCACGAUUACGAUCGUCGCGUGGGGCAUGGCC
Molecule: transfer RNA, 97 nt
Filed under: bacterium HR08
Lineage: Bacteria
Description: tRNA-Gly
Source: RNAcentral